CGCGUGUGAAUUGCAGAAUCCCGUGAACCAUCGAGUCUUUGAACGCAAGUUGCGCCCGAAGCCAUUAGGCCGAGGGCACGUCUGCCUGGGUGUCA
RNAcentral lists this ribosomal RNA (95 nucleotides) under Pimpinella anisum. Its description in RNAcentral is "partial 5.8S ribosomal RNA". It matches the Rfam family "5.8S ribosomal RNA", at positions 58 to 154 of the family's 154-position model. From Rfam's summary of the family: 5.8S ribosomal RNA (5.8S rRNA) is a component of the large subunit of the eukaryotic ribosome. Lineage: Eukaryota; Viridiplantae; Streptophyta; Magnoliopsida; Apiales; Apiaceae. The record is from RNAcentral.